Molecule: transfer RNA, 76 nt
Filed under: Meiothermus ruber
Lineage: Bacteria; Thermotogati; Deinococcota; Deinococci; Thermales; Thermaceae
Also listed under: 7 other names
Description: tRNA-Arg
Rfam family: tRNA
About the family: Transfer RNA (tRNA) molecules are approximately 80 nucleotides in length. Their secondary structure includes four short double-helical elements and three loops (D, anti-codon, and T loops).
Source: RNAcentral
GCGCCCGUAGCUCAGUGGAUAGAGCAGCCGCCUUCUAAGCGGUAGGUCGGGGGUUCGAGUCCUCCCGGGCGCGCCA